RNAcentral lists this microRNA precursor (102 nucleotides) under Marmota monax (woodchuck). Lineage: Eukaryota; Metazoa; Chordata; Mammalia; Rodentia; Sciuridae. The record is from RNAcentral.
AGUGGCAUCACUGGGUAAUGAGGUAACUCUAUGUUCAAUUUUUUGAGGAACUGUCAAGCUGUUUUCCAAAGUGGCUGUAACUUUUAUAUUUCUGUAAGAAGU